CUCUACAGAAGCAGCCUUUGCAGCUCAGAACAUUUCCCCUUUAGAAUGGAAUCUAUGGAACCUCACCCCCUGGCCAGCUUGACAGACCUUCUGGGAGCCAGUCUGUGGCCUGGGGCUAUGAGGAGCAGAAAGAAGCUGUUCUUCUCUGGGAGACUUUUAAAUCAUCAGAUUUGACACCAGGAAAACUAAAUGCAUCAAGAGUUAGUAACUCUCUCCAACUUAUCUCAAGUCCUUCACUGCCUUUUUAAGGUAAAAAACUGCCUGAAGUCAGUGGUUCAUGUCUGUAACAUAUCAGGUGUGUCUCUUUUGGCAGGGCACAAGAUACAUGUCUGAUAAAAAUACACAGUCUACCCAGCAAUAAACAGUUGAUUAGGAUACAUAACUACCAAACUGUU
This is a long non-coding RNA of Pogoniulus pusillus (Red-fronted tinkerbird), 395 nucleotides long. RefSeq lists it as uncharacterized. The transcript has 3 exons. The record is from RefSeq and is a predicted model, not a curated record. NCBI's taxonomy places the organism in Eukaryota, Metazoa, Chordata, Aves, Piciformes, Lybiidae.